CCUACGGGGUGCAGCAGUGGGGCAUAUUGCGCAAUGGGCGAAAGCCUGACGCAGCGACGCCGCGUGAGGGAUGAAGGUUUUCGGAUCGUAAACCUCUGUCAGCAGGGAAGAACGGUGCCUGUGCUAAUCAGCAGUGAAUUGACGGUACCUGCAAAGGAAGCACCGGCUAACGCCGUGCAAGCAGCCUCGGUAAUACGGAGGGUGCGUGCGUUAAUCGGAAUUACUGGGCGUAAAGCGUUCGUAGGCGGUAUGUCAAGUCAAGGGUGAAAUCCCCGCGCUCAACGUGGGAACUGCCUGUGAUACUGGCAAACUGGAGUGUGUGAGAGGAUAGUGGAAUGCCAGGUGUAGGAGUGAAAUCCGUAGAUAUCUGGAGGAACAUCAGUGGCGAAGGCGACUAUCUGGGACAUAUCUGACGCUGAGGAGCGAAAGCGUGGGUAGCAAACAGGAUUAGAUACCCUGGUAGUC
Molecule: ribosomal RNA, 465 nt
Filed under: uncultured bacterium
Lineage: Bacteria
Description: partial 16S ribosomal RNA
Rfam family: Bacterial small subunit ribosomal RNA
Source: RNAcentral